GAUGAACGCUGGCGGCGUGCCUAAUACAUGCAAGUCGAGCGAACAGACGAGGAGCUUGCUCCUCUGACGUUAGCGGCGGACGGGUGAGUAACACGUGGAUAACCUACCUAUAAGACUGGGAUAACUUCGGGAAACCGGAGCUAAUACCGGAUAAUAUAUUGAACCGCAUGGUUCAAUAGUGAAAGACGGUUUUGCUGUCACUUAUAGAUGGAUCCGCGCCGCAUUAGCUAGUUGGUAAGGUAACGGCUUACCAAGGCAACGAUGCGUAGCCGACCUGAGAGGGUGAUCGGCCACACUGGAACUGAGACACGGUCCAGACUCCUACGGGAGGCAGCAGUAGGGAAUGUUCCGCAAUGGGCGAAAGCCUGACGGAGCAACGCCGCGUGAGUGAUGAAGGUCUUCGGAUCGUAAAACUCUGUUAUUAGGGAAAAACAAAUGUGUAAGUAACUAUGCACGUCUUGACGGUACCUAAUCAGAAAGCCACGGCUAACUACGUG
Molecule: ribosomal RNA, 497 nt
Filed under: uncultured bacterium
Lineage: Bacteria
Description: partial 16S ribosomal RNA
Rfam family: Bacterial small subunit ribosomal RNA
Source: RNAcentral